This 372-nucleotide ribosomal RNA is filed under the name uncultured bacterium. RNAcentral describes it as "bacterial SSU rRNA". It matches the Rfam family "Bacterial small subunit ribosomal RNA", at positions 1135 to 1505 of the family's 1533-position model. The record is from RNAcentral.
UCACUCUAGCGAGACUGCCGGUAAUAAACCGGAGGAAGGUGGGGAUGACGUCAAAUCAUCAUGCCCCUUAUGACCUGGGCUACACACGUGCUACAAUGGUUGGUACAACGAGUCGCGAGUCGGUGACGGCAAGCAAAUCUCUUAAAGCCAAUCUCAGUUCGGAUUGUAGGCUGCAACUCGCCUACAUGAAGUCGGAAUCGCUAGUAAUCGCGGAUCAGCACGCCGCGGUGAAUACGUUCCCGGGCCUUGUACACACCGCCCGUCACACCACGAGAGUUUGUAACACCCGAAGUCGGUGAGGUAACCUUUUAGGAGCCAGCCGCCUAAGGUGGGAUAGAUGAUUGGGGUGAAGUCGUAACAAGGUAACCGUAA